UACGUAUGGUCCGAGCGUUGUCCGGAAUUAUUGGGCGUAAAGGGCGUGUAGGCGGCCAGGUAGGUCUGCUGUGAAAACUCGAGGCUUAACCUCGAGAUGUCGGCGGAAACCAUCUGGCUAGAGUCCGGAAGAGGAGAAUGGAAUUCCCGGUGUAGCGGUGAAAUGCGCAGAUAUCGGGAAGAACACCCGUGGCGAAGGCGGUUCUCUGGGACGGUACUGACGCUGAGGAGCGAAAGCCAGGGGAGCAAACGGG
This 253-nucleotide ribosomal RNA is filed under the name uncultured bacterium. RNAcentral describes it as "partial 16S ribosomal RNA". It matches the Rfam family "Bacterial small subunit ribosomal RNA", at positions 524 to 776 of the family's 1533-position model. The record is from RNAcentral.